GUGGGGAAUCUUGCGCAAUGGGCGAAAGCCUGACGCAGCGACGCCGCGUGGGUGAUGAAGGCCUUCGGGUUGUAAAGCCCUGUGGGGAGGGACGAACAAGCUGCGACCUAACACGUCGUGGCCUUGACGGUACCUCCUUAGCAAGCACCGGCUAACUCUGUGCCAGCAGCCGCGGUAAGACAGAGGGUGCAAACGUUGCUCGGAAUUACUGGGCGUAAAGCGCAUGUAGGCGGCUUCGUAAGUCGAUUGUGAAAUCCCUCGGCUUAACCGAGGAAGGGCAGUCGAUACUGCAGAGCUAGAGUACCGGAGAGGGUCGUGGAAUUCCUGGUGUAGAGGUGAAAUUCGUAGAUAUCAGGAGGAACACCGGCGGCGAAGGCGGCGACCUGGACGGAUACUGACGCUCAGAUGCGAAAGCGUGGGUAGCAAACAGGAUUAGAUACCCCAGUAGUCC
This 451-nucleotide ribosomal RNA is filed under the name uncultured bacterium. Its description in RNAcentral is "bacterial SSU rRNA". It matches the Rfam family "Bacterial small subunit ribosomal RNA", at positions 354 to 796 of the family's 1533-position model. The record is from RNAcentral.